CCCAAACAAUUUCAGGAACAAGAUGUCCUAGCAUAGUGCUGUGAAAAUGGCAUUGGAUUUCUAGUCAGAGGACUAGGACCUAGCUCUAAAUAUGUGAUCCAAUUAACUUCUAAAGGAGUUCAGUUAAUGGAGAGAUAGAUCUUUGAGGCCCAAAGUUGUUGAAUCACUUGGAGGAGUCAGAACAUUAGUCACACCUGGCACAGUCUUGAUUUCAAGUUUUUCUACCACACAAAUUGGACAAAUAAGAGUAGGCCUGAAUUCCCAAAGGGAGCUUGUAUGUUUCAAGUAUCACCUUAGUAGCUCUGCUACUUACCAUCUUGAAGAAAUGUAACUGUGACCUUGGAUUUUAUCCAAAGACUUUCGGGACUGGGGAAUCGUUGGCCAGCUGUGCCUCUGAACCUCUGCUUUUCACUCUCACCUGCUUUGAGAAAUUUGAUCAACUCCAACAGGGACAUGAAAUAUUCAUUCACUGCUCCUAGAGAUUGUUGUCCUGUGACUGCCCAGGGUUAAACUAGGAAAUAUUCCUCACAUUGAUUGUACCUCAAUAGCAUUUGUCCAAAACAUUUCUUGGCAAAAUCAGAGUAAAGUAUUUUUAAAAAUAUUUAAUUAAAAAGUCAACAUAGAACUUUGGUAAUAAAUUAAUUUCAAGGAAAAAAAAACUGUAUCA
Molecule: long non-coding RNA, 667 nt
Filed under: Monodelphis domestica (gray short-tailed opossum)
Lineage: Eukaryota; Metazoa; Chordata; Mammalia; Didelphimorphia; Didelphidae
Description: lncRNA (ENSMODG00000030843.2)
Source: RNAcentral